Molecule: ribosomal RNA, 484 nt
Filed under: uncultured bacterium
Lineage: Bacteria
Description: partial 16S ribosomal RNA
Rfam family: Bacterial small subunit ribosomal RNA
Source: RNAcentral
AUUGAACGCUGGCGGCAGGCCUAACACAUGCAAGUCGAGCGGAUGAAGGGAGCUUGCUCCUGGAUUCAGCGGCGGACGGGUGAGUAAUGCCUAGGAAUCUGCCUGGUAGUGGGGGAUAACGUCCGGAAACGGGCGCUUAUACCGCAUACGUCCUGAGGGAGAAAGUGGGGGAUCUUCGGACCUCACGCUAUCAGAUGAGCCUAGGUCGGAUUAGCUAGUUGGUGGGGUAAAGGCCUACCAAGGCGACGAUCCGUAACUGGUCUGAGAGGAUGAUCAGUCACACUGGAACUGAGACACGGUCCAGACUCCUACGGGAGGCAGCAGUGGGGAAUAUUGGACAAUGGGCGAAAGCCUGAUCCAGCCAUGCCGCGUGUUUGAAGAAGGUCUUCGGAUUGUAAAGCACUUUAAGUUGGGAGGAAGGGCAGUAAGUUAAUACCUUGCUGUUUUGACGGUACCAACAGAAUAAGCACCGGCUAACUUCGUG